CCCAAGAUCAAUAUCGAGAUUGCUUCGAUUGCCUCCACUAAAACUUGCGGAGGUACCGUUUCCUUGGUAGCCAAGAAAGUUCAAGCGCAGGGUGGUGUCAUUCUUCACAUGUUCAUUGCUGUUGAGAGCCAUGGGGAAAGGCUGAAUCUUUUAGAGCUAAACACUAAAAACUAACUAUGGAAAUUGGGGAAAGGCUGUAUCUUUUUAUCACUAGCAGAGCGGUUUCGGAACUUUGAGGAAGAAGUAGGAGUAUCGUCCGCCAUUUACGAAGCCUGAAGUGUCAGACCUGUCCAUCUUCCCAAGUGAAGAUACUGACUAGUGUAGUGUAGUAGUGACUGACAGUUGACAAGUUUAGCAAGUAUCUGACGACAUUUCUCGGGUAAAAGCCUCGAAUUUGUAGAUACGAAACUGAGGUGCAGAGAACACAACCGGAGGAACCUGUUCUGCACCGUUCAGUGUUCCUCAGCUUCAUUCACCUGACCAAGGAGGAGAAGAGACUACUUUCACAAAACGUCGUAAUGAUAGUUGACAAAUACAUGUAGUGUGACACAGAAACUUAACUACAUACAGGUAACUUGUGAAAGAACAACCAAUGGAUGAUGAUCAAUAAUAAGCAAAUUAGCUAAUUCAAGUACAUCAAACAAGCUUGACAUGAAAACAGUAGUAUCAAAAUGGAAUUGCAAACUAUGAUAACAGUAUCAAAAGGGAUUUUCAAACUAUCAGUUGAUCAAAAGUGGGAAAACAGUAAAACACUGACACAAAGCAGAAAAUCAAGUCAGAAAGACUAUUGCUUGAUUCGGCAACUAGAGUCACGUUCCCCGAAAAAGUUGAGUUGGCGUUGGGAGAAGUUGUGAGAGGAAAGUUCGAAUGGAGUUGUAUAAAAGAUCUCGAGUGGAUAUCGUGUUUCCUAGGAAUCCUUUAUAUCCCUUAAUUCGACUUCCCUUCCACACGAUCCUCCCAAACUCGACUCAAUUUUCUUCUACUAAUCUCAAUUCAACUUUUCUAGGAAAGAUGAUUCUUGUUGGCGAACAAGUCCAAAGAGUUUCAUUUACCAGAAUCAAAGUCCUGUCUAGCUCAGCAAUGCAACUUGACCCACCAUACCACAAACAACAACAACAACAGCAACAUCUGUACCAGAACACAUCAAAAAGGGAAUAGAAACUAGUUACUGAGUAAUUAGUAGAUCUGUUGAAAACCAACCAAUUUGACAGUGAAUUCCCAACUUGAAGAGCUACAGGACAAGAGCAAUUUACCAAAAAUCCAAACACACACAAAAGGAAAGAAAGGCAUCAAUUAGGGGAGUUUCAUACUUUCAUCAAAUCAUCAAAUCAAUGAAGAGAAAUUGUUCUUUCUUUUCUAUAUAUACAAUUCAAAAAAAAGAAGUCAAACUUGUCCAAGUUCCCAGAAAUACGAUAGAGGACACUGAAAAAACCAUAGGAAAUUCAGAAAGCUGAGAACCUUUCCCCCCAACAUUUUCCAUCUGAAUCCAAAAAAACAUUCAAAGACAAACCCAAUAGAGAGCAAUAAGAACCCAUUUCUGAACACAAGAAACCAGUAGUGCACGACAA
Molecule: long non-coding RNA, 1568 nt
Filed under: Linum usitatissimum (flax)
Lineage: Eukaryota; Viridiplantae; Streptophyta; Magnoliopsida; Malpighiales; Linaceae
Description: long non-coding RNA (LUSI_LNC002287)
Source: RNAcentral